GAGUUUGAUCAUGGCUCAGAUUGAACGCUGGCGGCAGGCCUAACACAUGCAAGUCGAACGGUAACAGGAAGCAGCUUGCUGCUUCGCUGACGAGUGGCGGACGGGUGAGUAAUGUCUGGGAAGCUGCCUGAUGGAGGGGGAUAACUACUGGAAACGGUAGCUAAUACCGCAUAAUGUCGCAUGACCAAAGAGGGGGACCUUCGGGCCUCUUGCCAUCGGAUGUGCCCAGAUGGGAUUAGCUUGUUGGUGGGGUAACGGCUCACCAAGGCGACGAUCCCUAGCUGGUCUGAGAGGAUGACCAGCCACACUGGAACUGAGACACGGUCCAGACUCCUACGGGAGGCAGCAGUGGGGAAUAUUGCACAAUGGGCGCAAGCCUGAUGCAGCCAUGCCGCGUGUAUGAAGAAGGCCUUCGGGUUGUAAAGUACUUUCAGCGGGGAGGAAGGGAGUAAAGUUAAUACCUUUGCUCAUUGACGUUACCCGCAGAAGAAGCACCGGCUAACUCCGUGCCAGCAGCCGCGGUAAUACGGAGGGUGCAAGCGUUAAUCGGAAUUACUGGGCGUAAAGCGCACGCAGGCGGUUUUGUUAAGUCAGAUGUGAAAUCCCCGGGCUCAACCUGGGAACUGCAUCUGAUACUGGCAAGCUUGAGUCUCGUAGAGGGGGGUAGAAUUCCAGGUGUAGCGGUGAAAUGCGUAGAGAUCUGGAGGAAUACCGGUGGCGAAGGCGGCCCCCUGGACGAAGACUGACGCUCAGGUGCGAAAGCGUGGGGAGCAAACAGGAUUAGAUACCCUGGUAGUCCACGCCGUAAACGAUGUCGACUUGGAGGUUGUGCCCUUGAGGCGUGGCUUCCGGAGCUAACGCGUUAAGUCGACCGCCUGGGGAGUACGGCCGCAAGGUUAAAACUCGAAUGAAUUGACGGGGGCCCGCACAAGCGGUGGAGCAUGUGGUUUAAUUCGAUGCAACGCGAAGAACCUUACCUGGUCUUGACAUCCACGGAAGUUUUCAGAGAUGAGAAUGUGCCUUCGGGAACCGUGAGACAGGUGCUGCAUGGCUGUCGUCAGCUCGUGUUGUGAAAUGUUGGGUUAAGUCCCGCAACGAGCGCAACCCUUAUCCUUUGUUGCCAGCGGUCCGGCCGGGAACUCAAAGGAGACUGCCAGUGAUAAACUGGAGGAAGGUGGGGAUGACGUCAAGCCAUCAUGGCCCUUACGACCAGGGCUACACACGUGCUACAAUGGCGCAUACAAAGAGAAGCGACCUCGCGAGAGCAAGCGGACCUCAUAAAGUGCGUCGUAGUCCGGAUUGGAGUCUGCAACUCGACCCCAUGAAGUCGGAAUCGCUAGUAAUCGUGGAUCAGAAUGCCACGGUGAAUACGUUCCCGGGCCUUGUACACACCGCCCGUCACACCAUGGGAGUGGGUUGCAAAAGAAGUAGGUAGCUUAACCUUCGGGAGGGCGCUUACCACUUUGUGAUUCAUGACUGGGGUGAAGUCGUAACAAGGUA
This 1500-nucleotide ribosomal RNA is filed under the name metagenome. RNAcentral describes it as "bacterial SSU rRNA". It matches the Rfam family "Bacterial small subunit ribosomal RNA". The record is from RNAcentral.